RNAcentral lists this ribosomal RNA (324 nucleotides) under uncultured eukaryote. RNAcentral describes it as "partial 18S ribosomal RNA". It matches the Rfam family "Eukaryotic small subunit ribosomal RNA", at positions 1470 to 1796 of the family's 1831-position model. The record is from RNAcentral.
CCCUUAGAUGUUCUGGGCUGCACGCGCGCUACACUGAAGCUAUCAACACGUUUUCCCUCCCUGAGAAGGGCGGGUAACCUUUUGAAUCAGCUUCGUGGUAGGGAUCGGGGCUUGCAAUUGUUCCCCGUGAACCAGGAAUUCCUAGUAGACGCGAGUCAUAAGCUCGCAUCGAUUAAGUCCCUGCCCUUUGUACACACCGCCCGUCGCUACUACCGAUUGAACGUUUUAGUGAGGCAUUUGGACCGACGCAUCUCAGUGUAACCGCUGGUUUGUGUUGGAAAGACUUCCAAACUUGAGCGUUUAGAGGAAGUAAAAGUCGUAACA